Daphnia pulicaria is the source of this 2750-nucleotide long non-coding RNA. RefSeq lists it as uncharacterized. The transcript is spliced from 4 exons. NCBI's taxonomy places the organism in Eukaryota, Metazoa, Arthropoda, Branchiopoda, Diplostraca, Daphniidae. The record is from RefSeq and is a predicted model, not a curated record.
CGCUGUUCAGUCCGUGUCGGGCUGUCAGCGGGAUCAGCCGCUCCGUUCGAGAGCUCCCGUUUUGGUUGUUACACAUUUCUUCAAAUUUAAAUCAUCGUCCAGUGCGAUUAUCUUAUUCUGUGAGAAAUGAUGUCAUUCGUCUCAGUGGUGACUUUAAAGUGAGUGCAAUCAAAAAUAUCCACGGCUCGUGUCAAAAUCGAAAAAGUGUUUGUUUAUUCUUUUCUUAAUUCGUCGUGCAAAAUGUUUGUGACAAGGAGGAGUGGGGGGCACGUGGCCAGUGACUAAAAUAAAUCUUCUGUGAUGAAUCUGCGUCUACUUAUCGUUGAAACGAGCUGAUGAAUGACACAAGACUUCAUCAAGAGUCGCUUCGUUCUAGUCGGAUAACAUAAUGACGACCCGUCAAUUUCCCAUUUGUCCGAGCUCCGGCCCAUAUCAAUCAUCGCCCGUAACAAGAGAGGAGAAAGAAGAAAAAAAAAACUCAUCACGACACGAUGAACAGCUGAGCAGCUCACAGAUGGGCCAUCAUCAUCAUCUCCUGGUUGAUUUACAAAAAAAAGAAGAAAAAAUCUUUUUCCAUCUUUUUUUUCUCUCUGUGAUGAUUCGCCGCCCAGGAAAAAAGAAAAAAGAAAAAGUGAAGAGGGAAAAGAGGACCCGCAACAUCAAGGGCUUCAUUCCAAUUUUCGGGUGGGGCUUUUAACCUUCGCCUGCGCUGCCAAGGACUAAUCAACUCGGUGCAAAGGUGGAUCAUCCACUUACCAAUCGCCUUUUAGCCUCCCCCCCUUUCGUCAGCUUUUCUCUUUCCCAAAUUCAAAAGGUUUCUUCUUCUCCCCGGCGCAUAAAUCACCGUGGAUCGAUUUUUCCCCCUUUUUUUGAAACUUUACAACCAAUUCAGUUCGAAAUCAAAUGAGAAAUAUGACCUAAAUAACGAUUUUCAUAACUACUACUACUACGGACGGUACUACUAGUAGAGAAAAGAGAGAUGGAUAGAGGGGGCGUACCGUGCAUGCGCCGACCGGAAACAGGAAGAAGCGCUUGGGCAAAUUUCCAUAUGCGCCGAUGAUGCUGGAUGUUAAAAGCAGUCGGGUGACCCAGCGGUGACCUGGCAGCAAUCCCCCCUCUCUCAUUUUCGUUCCUGUGAAAUCAAAUCGAAAAAAUAAAAAUAAAAAUAUGAACAUAAAGCAUCUCCUCCCUGUUUUUUUAAAAAAACAUUUGAAAAUAAAAAGCUAAAACAUCAUCACGUAACAUGUAUCAAACUUUCUCUUUUUCUCUCUCUCUCACUCAUUAUGAAUUGUGACAUCUCUCUCGGGAGUGAAUGCAUAAAUCUAAAUCCCCCAACUCAAAUUUUCGGUACUUUUUUUUUUUUUGAUUCUGGCUGUGUGUUUCCUUUUUCGGGAAAAUAAAAAUUCUACUUCCGCUUCUAUGACACAGUCCAAUGGGUUCAUCUCCGCUCGAUCCUCCUCCUUCCUCUCCUUUUUUUUUCGAUUCCCCUCCCUCCGUUUUUUUUUUCUUUUUCCAAUUCGUCCCGACACAUAUGGAAAAUGGGUUCGUCGUCGUCGUCGUGUGCACUGAUCGAUUUGAGAGAGGAUUGAAUUGAAUGGAUUCAUCCUCACAAAUCCAAUUCGACAACAAUAUCCUGUGGAAUUUGCCAGUUCCCCCCUACUCCGGAAGACGUUACCGACGGAAUCAAAUCAAAUGAAAAAGAAAAAAAAAGGGGAAAAGGGGAAAGACAAAAUUCAAGUCGACAGAAAAAAUGUUGUCGAAUUUCAUUCCUCAAUAAUAAUCAACGCCAAUUGUUUUUCCUGUCUUGGACCUGUUCCGCAUUGACAAAUUUCAACAAAUUGUCAUUGGCAGUCGCUCACCCGCGUCUUACGGUACAACAACAACAACAACAACUGAGAUAUUUCGCUUUUUUAUUUGUCAAUCUCACGUCAAUCAAUACGCCAUUCCCUGGAAAAUUAAAUUAAAUUUAAAAAAAAAUAAUGACCCUGACCGAAAUGUAAUUCAAAAAAAAUAAGUAACAAAACAAAAGGUUACAACACGUCUACAAUCAACCGACCUAAUUACAUAGUACACCGAAAAAUAAAAAUAAAAAUAAAAAAAAUAGACCCAACUGUCACGGCCAACCCCUGAUUAUUAUUAUGACAUAUUCUGAUCUAACUCGGUGAUGGGCGUCAUGGCUGCAGGGGUUGUCCAGUCAGUCAACAAAAAUACGCAAUCCAGGGCAUAUCAUUCAAACUGCACGUUUAUUUUCUUUUUUUCUUUUUGAGACGAGGUGUAAUCACUCCGUGUCACGCUACACAUGUGCGCGCCGCUUCUGUAGAUUCAAAUGAUACGAAGAAAAAGGAAGAGGCCCCGGCACAAGAGAGAUUGACACAAGUUACGUCUCUGGUUUCUCAGAUUUCCUUUUCUUUGACACAACAAAAUCAUAAUGGCAGGCAUUAAAGCAUCAAGUCGACGACGCAGGCUGCUACUUGUUUGUUUUUCACUGGCCGCGCAUGGUGAAACUUCCGGUGGCCACAACCGACAUUUCAUCCUCGGCUAAAUAUAUCACCCAAGAAUUUUUGUAGAUUGUUUGAUUGUUUAUCAAAUCAUUUCGUGCAUUUUAGUCCCAAAACUGAAUCCCAUCAGCUGAUGGGCCUGACGAAAUCGAUGAGGCUCUCGUCCCACGUAAUUUUUCCAAAAGAUGAUAUCAAACGAUAAUUUUAAAAUUAGUUUUUCCUUUUAAAUUUAUUCCUUCCAACGUUUGAAAA